GAUGAAGAACGCAGCGAAAUGCGAUAAGUAGUGUGAAUUGCAGAAUUCAGUGAAUCAUCGAAUCUUUGAACGCACAUUGCGCCCCUUGGUAUUCCAUGGGGCAUGCCUGUUCGAGCGUCAUUUGUACCUUCAAGCUCUGCUUGGUGUUGGGUGUUUGUCUCGCCUCUGCGUGUAGACUCGCCUCAAAACAAUUGGCAGCCGGCGUAUUGAUUUCGGAGCGCGGUACAUCUCGCGCUUUGCACUCAUAACGACGACGUCCAAAAGUACAUUUUUACACUCUUGACCUCGGAUCAGGUAGGGAUACCCGCUGAACUUAAGCAUAUCAAUAAGCGGAGGA
RNAcentral lists this unclassified non-coding RNA (337 nucleotides) under soil metagenome. RNAcentral's name for it is "partial contains 5.8S ribosomal RNA, internal transcribed spacer 2, and large subunit ribosomal RNA". The stretch from base 1 to 120 matches the Rfam family "5.8S ribosomal RNA", at positions 35 to 154 of the family's 154-position model. The record is from RNAcentral.